UACGGAAGGCAGCAGUGGGGAAUAUUGCACAAUGGGCGCAAGCCUGAUGCAGCCAUGCCGCGUGUAUGAAGAAGGCCUUCGGGUUGUAAAGUACUUUCAGUCGUGAGGAAGGUGUUAAGGUUAAUAACCUUAGCAAUUGACGUUAGCGACAGAAGAAGCACCGGCUAACUCCGUGCCAGCAGUCGCGGUAAUACGGAGGGUGCGAGCGUUAAUCGGAAUUACUGGGCGUAAAGGGCACGCAGGCGGUUAAUUAAGUUGGAUGUGAAAUCCCCGGGCUUAACCUGGGAAUGGCAUUCAAGACUGGUUAGCUAGAGUCUUGUAGAGGGGGUAGAAUUCCAUGUGUAGCGGUGAAAUGCGUAGAGAUGUGGAGGAAUACCGGUGGCGAAGGCGGCCCCUGGACAAAGACUGACGCUCAUGUGCGAAAGCGUGGGGAGCAAACAGGGAUUAGAUACC
RNAcentral lists this ribosomal RNA (453 nucleotides) under uncultured bacterium. Its description in RNAcentral is "bacterial SSU rRNA". It matches the Rfam family "Bacterial small subunit ribosomal RNA", at positions 340 to 786 of the family's 1533-position model. The record is from RNAcentral.